This is a non-coding RNA of Triticum aestivum (bread wheat), 186 nucleotides long. Lineage: Eukaryota; Viridiplantae; Streptophyta; Magnoliopsida; Poales; Poaceae. The record is from Rfam.
GUCUCGGUGAAGAGCUCUCGACCAUAGGAAGUGCCGUAUGACACUGUAAACAGCAGCUGCUUCUCCGCCGCUGCAAGUGUCCGUCCUCUUUAUCAUAACCUCUGUGGUUUGGUCUGGGAUGGAAAUACCCAUUUGCACCAGCUUGAUUCAGCUGUGUGCGUGAUUUUAAACGGGUCUCUGAGGGAC